RNAcentral lists this ribosomal RNA (420 nucleotides) under uncultured bacterium. Its description in RNAcentral is "bacterial SSU rRNA". It matches the Rfam family "Bacterial small subunit ribosomal RNA", at positions 29 to 440 of the family's 1533-position model. The record is from RNAcentral.
AAUGAACGCUGGCGGCGCGCCUAAUACAUGCAAGUCGAGCGAGAAGACGUAGCAAUACGUUUGUAAAGCGGCGAACGGGUGAGGAAUACAUGGGUAACCUACCCUCGAGUGGGGAAUAACUAGCCGAAAGGUUAGCUAAUACCGCGUACGCUUCUUGGACUUCGGUUCAGGGAGGAAAGCGAUGCCGAGGGUAUCGCGCUCUUGGAUGGGCUCAUGUCCUAUCAGCUUGNGGUGAGGUAACGGCUCACCAAGGCUUCGACGGGUAGCUGGUCUGAGAGGACGAUCAGCCACACUGGCACUGCGACACGGGCCAGACUCCUACGGGAGGCAGCAGUAAGGAAUAUUGCGCAAUGGGCGAAAGCCUGACGCAGCGACGCCGCGUGGGGGAUGAAGGUCUUCGGAUUGUAAACCCCUUUCGGG